AAAACAGUACUUGCCUCUGGUCCCAAAUUCCUGCUUCCCUUUCUUGUAGGAAUCAGUCUCCCUAGGAGAAGAAUAGGUGAAGGAUACUCUAGAAAUAUCUAUAUUUUCUUUCUCUGAGUCACAUCUAAAUAGACUCAUGGAGAUAUACAUAACUUACAUGGUGUAUUAGUGAGGGGGACUUUGAAAAGGAGGAACUCAAAGUUCAGCUAAUUGGGGGAAUUAAUAUAUGGUGACACUUCUUUCCUCCUUCCCCCAAAGUUGAGCUGUUACCAAUGGAGUCAGUCAGUCUAGACUAAAGGAUGCUGUGAAAAAAAGAAUCAACAAGCUUCUCCUUUGCAAGAUGCUGAUAGUUCUAGCUAUGCAGCCAAUCAAAAAAAGGAUCCUCUUGACCAUGGAGUUAGCCAACAUGAACCAAUUGUCCAAACAUGCUUAAGAGUCUUUCCAACACAAUUAUAAAAAACAACAUUAACAUGAUUCUCUCAAAGCCAAGCUCCCUCUCCAUAUGGAGAGGUUGCAACUGCUUGCACAAAGGUUCAUUACACAGGUAAUACAGAAUAUUUACGGUUGUUUCCAAA
Monodelphis domestica (gray short-tailed opossum) is the source of this 575-nucleotide long non-coding RNA. RefSeq lists it as uncharacterized. The record is from RefSeq and is a predicted model, not a curated record. Lineage: Eukaryota; Metazoa; Chordata; Mammalia; Didelphimorphia; Didelphidae.